UGGGGGUGGAGAAGCUCCCAAGGGUCGGGCUGUUCGCCCGUUAAAGCGGUACGCGAGCUGGGUUCAGAACGUCGCAAGACAGU
This 83-nucleotide ribosomal RNA is filed under the name Legionellales bacterium RIFCSPHIGHO2_12_FULL_35_11. RNAcentral describes it as "partial 23S ribosomal RNA". It matches the Rfam family "Bacterial large subunit ribosomal RNA", at positions 2548 to 2630 of the family's 2925-position model. Lineage: Bacteria; Pseudomonadati; Pseudomonadota; Gammaproteobacteria; Legionellales. The record is from RNAcentral.